Molecule: ribosomal RNA, 424 nt
Filed under: uncultured bacterium
Lineage: Bacteria
Description: bacterial SSU rRNA
Rfam family: Archaeal small subunit ribosomal RNA
Source: RNAcentral
ACCUACGGGAGGCAGCAGGCGCGAAAACUCUACAAUGCAGGCAACUGCGAUAGGGGGACAUCGAGUGGCAUCCACCUUGGGUGCCUGUCCAACCGUCUAAAAAACGGUUGUUAGCAAGGGCCGGGUAAGACCGGUGCCAGCCGCCGCGGUAAUACCGGCGGCUCGAGUGGUGGCCGAUAUUAUUGAGUCUAAAGGGUCCGUAGCCGGCUUUGCAAGUCCCCUGGGAAAUCCAGCGGCUUAACCGUUGGGCUUUCAUGGGAUACUACAUUGCUUGGGACUGGGAGAGGUAGGAGGUACUCGGGGGGUAGGGGUGAAAUCCUGUAAUCCUCCGGGGACCACCGGUGGCGAAGGCGUCCUACCAGAACAGGUCCGACGGUGAGGGACGAAAGCUAGGGGCACGAACCGGCUUAGAUACCCCGGUAGG